This 447-nucleotide ribosomal RNA is filed under the name uncultured bacterium. RNAcentral's name for it is "bacterial SSU rRNA". It matches the Rfam family "Bacterial small subunit ribosomal RNA", at positions 329 to 792 of the family's 1533-position model. The record is from RNAcentral.
UACCAGACUCCUACGGGAGGCAGCAGUGGGGGAUAUUGCACAAUGGGGGAAACCCUGAUGCAGCGACGCCGCGUGUGGGAAGACGGUCCUCUGGAUUGUAAACCACUGUCCCCAGGGACGAAGAUGACGGUACCUGGGGAGGAAGCUCCGGCUAACUACGUGCCAGCAGCCGCGGUAAUACGUAGGGAGCGAGCGUUGUCCGGAUUUACUGGGUGUAAAGGGAGCGUAGACGGUUGUAUAAGUCUGGAGUGAAAGCCCGGGGCCCAACCCCGGGACUGCUUUGGAAACUGUGUAACUUGAGUACAGGAGGGGCAGGCGGAAUUCCUGGUGUAGCGGUGAAAUGCGUAGAUAUCAGGAGGAACACCGGCGGCGAAGGCGGCCUGCUGGACUGAAACUGACGUUGAGGCUCGAAAGCGUGGGGAGCAAACAGGAUUAGAUACCCUCGUA